This 1861-nucleotide long non-coding RNA is filed under the name Mus musculus (house mouse). Its description in RNAcentral is "predicted gene, 74511". The record is from RNAcentral. Lineage: Eukaryota; Metazoa; Chordata; Mammalia; Rodentia; Muridae.
CUCUCUGCUGCCGCCGCAAGCGCCGCUGGCCCGGGGACCACAGAUUGGAAGCAGGCAGUCACUGGUCGUGGACAGGAAGACUCUCUCCGGCCAUCUCAGCUGUGGUCCUCUAACCUGUGCCUGUGAGCCACCAAGAGUGAACGGAAACUAGAAGCAUUGCCACCAACAACUGGAGCAGUGACCACACUGAAGUUUCUCUGUCGAGGGGGAAGGGGAGUAAGGAGAAAAAAAAAAAAAAAAGGCAAGUAAGCAAGCAAGCCAGCAAGCACAGGAGCACACUCUCGUGGAGGCCCACACCCUCCCUGUGCCUACCCAAGAUGUGUCAGUCAGAGAAGCAUCCAGGACCGGAGCUCCAAGCAGCAGCAAAAUGGUUGUACUUUCCCCAGCUGGCCCUAUGGCGGAGGCUAGGCCAGCUGAGCUGCAUGUCCAGACCUGCUCUGAAUCUGCGCUCCUGGCUGCUGACCAUCCUCCACUACCUCCUGCCCUUCCGUGUGCUCGGGCCCCACAGCCAGGUGGGAUGGAGGCCCCUGAGCAGGGUGUUCCUGUAUAAAACUGUGCCAACGAGUUUGCUGUCAUGUGCCUGUGGUCGCCUCAACAAAGUAGAACUUCCUUACUGGCUCUGGAGGCCAGUCUACAGCCUGUAUAUCUGGACCUUUGGGGUGAACAUGACUGAGGCUGCAGUGGAGGACCUGCACCACUACCGCAACCUCAGCGAGUUUUUCCGGCGUAAGCUGAAGCCUCAGGCACAGCCUGUCUGAGAUUUGUACUGUGUGGUAAUGCCUGGCCCUUGUCUCCAUUCUUCAUUAGGAAAUGAAACCCUUGUCUGCCUUUAAGCCAGGCUUAGCAGCACCGCAUGGCCGUGGCACUCCGGGAGGCUCCCUCCUGACCUGGACUGGAGCUCCCUGAGGACUUGGCAGAUGGUAGAGUUUGGGGAGCCACUGAAGGUGAGCACUACCCCCUCCUUACCUUCAAAACUCUGUCUCCUCCAGACCAGCCCAUCAGAUGGCAAGAUCCUCACCUUUGGGCAGGUGAAGAACUCUGAGGUGGAGCAGGUAAAGGGCGAAACCUACUCCUUGGAGUCCUUCCUGGGCCCUCGAACCAGUACAGAAGACCUGCCCUUCCCUCCAGCUUCUUCCAGUGACUCCUUCAGAAACCAGCUGGUCCCCCAAGAAGGGAAUGCGCUCUACCACUGUGUCGUCUACCUGGCCCCAGGAGACUACCACUGCUUCCACUCCCCCACUGACUGGACCGUCUCACAUCGGCGCCACUUCCCAGGUUCCCUGAUGUCAGUGAACCCUGGCAUGGCCCGAUGGAUCAAAGAGCUCUUUUGUCACAAUGAGCAUGUAGUCCUAACUGGAGACUGGAAAAAUGGGUUCUUCUCGUUGACAGCAGUGGGAGCCACCAAUGUGGGCUCUAUCCAUAUCCACUUUAACUGAGACUUGCACACAAACAGCCCCAGGUACAGCAAGGUACUACAAUGACCUGAGCUUUGUAACAAGGAGGGCAUUCCCAUGCACAAGGGUGAGCCCCUGGGCGAGUUCAACCUGAGCUCCACAUCAUGCUCAUCUUCGAGGCACCCAAGGACUUCAACUUGAGGCUGAAGGCAGAACAGAAGAUCUGCUUUGCAGGAGCACUGGGCUCCCUCUAGUCCUCUCGGUUGUGGCUGCCAAAGGAUCUUUCCACACAGGAGCAUGAGGGUCUUUAGCGGAGCCCCAGGAUGUCUAGGGUGACGUGCCUGCUGGGCAGAGACUGUGGAUCCACUGUCUUCCUAGAGCAGGCCACAUGGCCUUCAUAACUGCUUUCUGCUCCCAAAUUUCACCUAUCUGCAUGCUGGAAAAGUAAAAUCAUUUAUAUAUUGCUG